Molecule: non-coding RNA, 288 nt
Filed under: Pongo abelii (Sumatran orangutan)
Lineage: Eukaryota; Metazoa; Chordata; Mammalia; Primates; Hominidae
Source: RNAcentral
UGUGGUUUCACUGCUGUUCAAGGGCUCUGUUUUGACUGCAAGAAGAGACACUACGUAGAAGAAUAAGUACAUAAAAUAAACUGCAUUCACAUUAAGUGAGCAUCAACAAGCACCUCUUGACCUCUAAGACAGCAUCCAAAAUCAUUACAUGCAAUAAAAUGGAAGCAAAAUCCUUCUAUAGAAGACAAGCACCGUAUUUCUCAGCCAAAUGCAAGCUUACACACCAAAUGUUUUGAUUUCAAAAGAAACAAUGAUAUUUUAAUGUCCUAGGUUGAAGAGUUUUGUGAG